RNAcentral lists this ribosomal RNA (301 nucleotides) under uncultured bacterium. RNAcentral describes it as "partial 16S ribosomal RNA". It matches the Rfam family "Bacterial small subunit ribosomal RNA", at positions 509 to 807 of the family's 1533-position model. The record is from RNAcentral.
CAGUCGCCGCGGUAAUGCGAAGGGGGCUAGCGUUGUUCGGAAUUACUGGGCGUAAAGCGCACGCAGGCGGCUCGAUAAAUUAGAAGUGAAAGCCUUGGGCUUAACCUGAGAAUUGCUUUUAAGACUGUCGAGCUAGAAUCCAGAAGAGGGUAGUGGAAUUCCGAGUGUAGAGGUGAAAUUCGUAGAUAUUCGGAAGAACACCAGUGGCGAAGGCGACAACCUGGUCCAUGACUGACGCUGAGGCGCGAAAGCGUGUGGAGCAAACAGGAUUAGAUACCCCAGUAGUCCCUGUCUCUUAUAC